AGCCCUUGACAUGGGGAUUCUGGGUUUCAGAGAUGAGACCCUUCAGUUCGGCUGGGUCCCACA
RNAcentral lists this ribosomal RNA (63 nucleotides) under uncultured organism. Its description in RNAcentral is "partial 16S ribosomal RNA". The record is from RNAcentral.